Molecule: long non-coding RNA, 3009 nt
Organism: Equus caballus (horse)
Lineage: Eukaryota; Metazoa; Chordata; Mammalia; Perissodactyla; Equidae
Source: Ensembl
GCUCCCUGCCUCACUCUAACAUGAGCUCCCAAGGGGAGGGCCUCUGAGUUCUCUCACCGCUGCAUCCCUUCUGCCUAGGGCAGCACCUGGCAGACAGAGGGCUGGGGAAUGGAUGUCGAGAGAAUCUUUCAACAAGGCGUUUCCACCUUGUUGAUUUCCACAGGUACAACCCCUCUCCUAAGGAAUUCUGCACCGAGGAGCAGAGACACUCAGAUUUUAUGCACAGACUCCACAAAGGGUCUUCGUACCGUGAGGCUGGCAGACGUCAACCUAGCACAGAGAAUGUGACAUCCGGGCUGUCCAAGCAAGCAAGAAGCAGGUGUGAUGCUGAUCCAGCCCCCAAGCCCACUUCUGGAGUGUUUCUCGGCUUAAGCGGAAAAUGAAGGCAGUGCCACAGCCCAUUUCCCUGUCUGUACAAUCCCAGCUCCGCUAGGAUUUCAGAUGAGCACAAGACCGAGACCUGAGCCAAGAGAGCCCCUCACUCCCAACCUCAGAGCUGACGUGGCCCAGACAAAGAUGCUCCAUGUCAGAAGCAGAACCAACUUUCCCUGUAAGAGCUUGGAGCACAGCAGGACGUGGUGCAAGCUGGCCGGCAUCUCUGGAUGGUGGCGAGCACAGUAGGAUGUGGUGCAAGCUGGCCGGCGUCUCCUCUCCUGAGUCUUGGCUUUAACCAAAGCCUCGUGCCUAGCUGAAAGUGACUUGAUGAAGAACAAAUACAUUUUCUUGUGUCUCCCACCAUAAGCUGGUCUCUCUGGUAUGUCAACUCAGCGUUUGUCUAGGUGCAGUAACCUGGCCCAGUUCUGUAAUCCUAGCACAGAAAAGGAGGCUCUGGGAGUGAACCUGAGCAUGAAGAAGUUAAACAAUCUCCCCCGGGCUAGAAGAAGAGAAAAACUCUGAGAUGAGCUUUGCUAACCUGCGGCUGUGCAUCCUCAGCAUAAUCAACUGUUGUUCAAAACUAACCAGGUCCUUCCGUCCCUCGCUAGUAUAUGAGUGAGCUUCUUUCCCAGGGAGUCAGGUCCAGACGUCAAGAUUCAGCCUCAUGAGGCCAAACGUGGGCUGAAGAUGAGAACUAACCAGAAAAGUCCAGACAGUCAAGGGAAAAGAAAUUCAGUCGUCAAGGCCAAAUACUGGCUGGUGGGAAGGCACCAACAACACGGCCACAUGCUCCCACUCCCCUACCUAAAACCCCAGAUAAAAACCCCUACCUUUCUCCCUUCAAAGAUGUGAAUCCGAGUUCUAACUCCCACCUCCUCAUCUGGCUGCUGUUCGAUAGCAAACCCCUUUCCUUGCCACAAGCCUGGUGUUUCAGGGUUUUCCUUUAUCGGACCUCCUGUGCAGCAAGCAGAAGAACCUGUGUUUGUGUGCAGUGACAGGAGCAGGAAAGUGCUCUCCUGAGGGGUUUAGACCCAGCAGGAGAAGGUCAGACGACUUUCAGGGAAAAUGCAGACAUUCUGAGCAGCAAUAGGUGGGACAUGAGCCAUGGCAGCAACUGCCCACAUCAGAGGGAAACACCUACCUGGAGCCCACACACCAGAAAGUCAUGGGGUUGUCAUGGAGGACAGUCGCAGUGCCAGGCCACGGGGCCAGUGGGGCUCGAAGGCCCGCCACACUUCUGCCUCUUUGCUCCUCCUAAGACACUAGUUCUCUGUGCUGACGGGAUACCAGACUCACCCGGAGGACUUGAAAAGGCCUGGGCCCCACCCUCGGAAGAGUGCGAUUUUACUGGUUUGGGGUGUGGCCUGGGCAGCAGCGCUUUUCAAGCUUCAGGGUGGUUCCAAUGGGCACGGAGUCUGAGAACCACUGUCCCGAGACAGCCACUCCCCGCCACACCCGACCGCACCCCAGCUUCUGGCCUUACUGCCUUCCGAGAAGGAAAGACUACCUCUGCAAAUAGCUCUCCUUUCCCUUCAUGAUGGAUUUAGGCACAGAUGUGACUUUCCCACACUCUUGGGAUUUCUUUGUAGAUACUUGGGCAUUUAAAGCAAACCAGACCUUUUGCUGAAGUGACACAUGUGCAUGAAUGUGUGUGUGUGUGUGUGUGUGCCAGGGUGGAUAGGAUGACUGUAGGAACCCAGGGAAUGUACACAGUCAGCUGUAACCAAGGUAUUUAAUCAGUAAAAAUGAAAACACACAGUUAAGCCUCUUCAUAGGGAGCCUGUACGGUGCUCACGCUUCAGGCUCACCCGUGUCAGCCAGGCACCAGCUGCUCCUCAGUCCUGACAGGUGAAGAGGCAGAGUGCCAGCCUCAGACCACGCUUCGUCUCCUUUGACAAGGUAAGAUCAGAGAGGUCGCAUAGGCAGAGGCCCAGAGAGUGCCUUAAAUGCAGCAAACCUGCACCCACAGGGUGACUCCUGAUCUGCUGAUCCUUCACUUUCACCCCCACAGCUUCUCUCAAGAAAUGCGAUGGCCAAGAGCCGUCGCUCCCCACUGCCAUCUUCCAGCAUAAUUAACCAGCAGAAUGGAGAGAAACACGAAUUUCCCAAAAUUCAAAGACAAAAUGUAAACAUGAUUACAAGUGGCUAGCUUUUUCUCGGAAAUAGUAACUCCGUACAUAGCCCAUGUACCACACACACAGUUGUCCAUACCUUGGGAGUGGUCAACCAGCAACGAAAGCAUCAUUUCUUACUACUUGACCACCCUCAGAGCUCAGAUGCAUUCUGCUCUCACUCUCCUCUGGAGAGGAGGCUCUGCUGCUCCCUACGUGGGAACGCUCUUGUCCCAUCCUUUCCCGAUAACUCCCAUUUAUCUUUGGGGCUGUUUAGACCUCCCUUCCUCCAGGCGGCCUUCACUGAUGCCCUAGGCUGCAUUGGGUGGCAUCUUCUGUGCCUGUUGCAGCCGUGGCUUGCCUCUACCCCAGCACCUGUCCUCCUGUCCUGAAGUGCCAUCUCGAGUGUCUAUCUUGAGCCACUCCUACCUCUGUGCCCAGACCCUGAGAGCUUCGUGGGCGGGGAUGAGAGCCCACCACAGCAGUGACAGCACUUGAUAUGUGUCAGCACAGGGGGUGCUCA